This is a long non-coding RNA of Myxocyprinus asiaticus (Chinese sucker), 2349 nucleotides long. RefSeq lists it as uncharacterized. The record is from RefSeq and is a predicted model, not a curated record. The transcript has 3 exons. Lineage: Eukaryota; Metazoa; Chordata; Actinopteri; Cypriniformes; Catostomidae.
AGAGAGAGAGAGAGAGAGAGAGAGAGAGAGAGACAGAGAGAGAGAGAGAGAGAGAGAGAGAGUGGGAGAGAGAGAGAGAGAGAGAGUGAGAGAGAGAGAGAGAGAGAGAGAGAGAGAUUCUUACACUUUUGUCUGUUUAUCAUCAAUGUUCAUAAUUUCACAAAAAUGUGCUUCUGUCUGCCUGUUUUAUGUCUAUGAUUUAACUGCGAGCAGCUAACAUUGAAGAAUAUUUCUAAAAGGAAUAGUUAACCCAAAAAUGACAAUUAUGUCAUCAUUUACUCACAUGAGAGAAGCUCGUUUACAAUGGCUCAAAAGCCAAAAAGCUCAAGUUCUUGUGUGCACAACUCAGGUUCUCAUGCACUUAUGAAUGCGUAAAUUUGAUGGUCUGUAAAAUCUCUUAUUUGUGUAACUUUAGAAGACUUGGAAAAUGAUGCACGAGUUGUAUGGACUACUUUUAUGACACUUUUGGGUCCUUUUUAAACUUUAAGAUCCUUUUCAUACUUGGCUCCUAAACUAUGGAAUAAUCUCCCUAGCACUGUUCGGGAUGCAGACACACUCACAUCUAUUUAGCCAGCCUUGGGAUUUAUAUCCUGAGGUUACCAGAGCCGGCCAGAUCCAGCUCCGUUCCUCCACUGCUACGUGUCACUGAGAGAUGACGACAAACUACAGCCGGUGCUAGCCAGACAUCACUUCAGUUUUUUUACAUCAGAGGAUGAACUGAUGCCAACUCCAGCUGUAAGACAUCGGAUACUUCAUAUGCCACUGCCUGAACCUUGGACUUAGGAUGAACCCCACAUGAACUGCGAUGCACCUCAUCAUUUAUCUCUGCCUGCAUCACCUUGGUCUAAUAAUGGACUACACUCUUGAAAUGGAAUACAUAAACUUUCAAUUAUUUGCCAUCAAAAGCCUUCAUCAGCCAAAUAACAAUGGACAAUGCAUCAAUGUGAACUUCUGCAGUUAAUCCAGGAUGGACUUCAAAGACAUUAGUCAUUAAUCUUACAGUUCAUACAAAAUCGUCGGCCCUUAUCAUUUACUUAGUUUACUAAUUUUAAACCAUGACUUGCACUGCACAUAACUAAGUAAUAUUGACAUAAUAUUCAUGCUGUUAGCCAGAGGGGAACUGACCCCCACAGUGAGUCUGGUUUCUUCCAAGGUUAUUUUUCUCCAUUAACCAACAUCUUAUGGAGUUUAGUGUUCCCUGCCACAGUCGCCUUCAGUUUGCUCACAGGGGUUCUCAAUACAAUUAUUAUUUAAUUUCUAUACACAAUUUACAAUCAUAUUUAAUCAAACUACUACACAAUGAUCACUGUAAGACUUUAUAGAUAUUACAGUUUCAUUUUCUGUUAAUGUAUGAUUUCCUGUAAAGCUGCUUUGAAACAAUUUGUGUAGUGAAAAGCGCUGUACAAAUAAAAAUUACUUGAUUUCGAUUAAUGUAUCAAAAAUAUGCACUCGACUAGAUUACACUAUAUAAGGUUUAGUUUAUUUGUGUUGGGACUACAUGAAUCAUUUUUGUUGACAUAACUAAAUAGGCAGAGGUGUUGUAGUAGAGGUCUUCCUCACGACCCACGGGACCCGAUUAGAUUUCUUGCUUUAUGGGAUUCAAUUUCCAAGUUGAAGGCGGGAGUGGAUGGUCAGAGAAUAGCCUGAAAAUCUGAUGUGGAUAUAUAUAUACAUAUAUAUAUUAUAUAUAUUAUUAUUAUUAUUUUUUUUUACAACAUAAAAUAAAUGUGCACACAGCAUUGAAUAUUUAGAGCUGGCAGGUAGUCAACGGGGCUUAAGAAGAAUGGAAGAGCAAAGCAUGGGCACAUUGUGUAAUCAAAGGGUGUGUAAUUCGGAAUAUAAAAUGGUCAAUUUGCUGUAAAGAAACCAGCCUCAGGCAAGUCAGAUGAGCAUCAGGUCACGCAUCAUCUGAUAAUAGCAAGAACAGAAAAAUAAAAAGUUUUUGCGCAGACCUCUAAUUUAUAGUUUACAGCAUGCUUUGCAUGGGACUUUAUGGGGAGAGAAAAUAUGUUACAAUUAAGUGUUUUUUAUAUAUAUUUGAGCAAGAUGAGAAAAAGGGGAGACUUGAUUGUGUUUAAUGUUCAGUUAUUUUGGGAUUUAGAACGAUUCUGUUACGCAGGUUUACCAUUGUGGUGAAGAGUGGAACCUUUGCUUACGUAAAGGACGGGUACACAAAAAAGAUAUGGCAUGUUGCUUUACUCAAGGAGCAAUUCCACCUAGUAUUUAGCAUGCUAAUGCUAGCUAAAAGUUAGCUAACCAGCAUAGCCUCAUAACAUAAAUCAGUGACACAAAAUGAUUGUGAAAAACUAAAAGGAAUGAAUGUUAGGGACACAUAUAAAUUCACUUUGA